GAUGAAGAACGCCAGCGAAAUGCGAUAAGUAAUGUGAAUUGCAGAAUUCAGUGAAUCAUCGAAUCUUUGAACGCACAUUGCGCCCGCCAGCACUCUGGCGGGCAUGCCUGUUCGAGCGUCAUUUCAACCAUCAAGCCCCCAGGGGCUUGUGCUGGGGCCCUGCGGCUGCCCGCAGGCCCUGAAAACCAGUGGCGGGCUCGCUAGUCACACCGAGCGCAGUAGCACAUCUCGCUCAGGGCGUGCGGCGGGCUCCUGCCGUGAAACCCCCCACUGUAACCCCAAAGGUUGACCUCGGAUCAGGUAGGAAUACCCGCUGAACUUAAGCAUAUCAAUAAGCGGAGGA
RNAcentral lists this unclassified non-coding RNA (343 nucleotides) under soil metagenome. Its description in RNAcentral is "partial contains 5.8S ribosomal RNA, internal transcribed spacer 2, and large subunit ribosomal RNA". The stretch from base 1 to 121 matches the Rfam family "5.8S ribosomal RNA", at positions 35 to 154 of the family's 154-position model. The record is from RNAcentral.